RNAcentral lists this ribosomal RNA (377 nucleotides) under uncultured Gammaproteobacteria bacterium. RNAcentral describes it as "bacterial SSU rRNA". It matches the Rfam family "Bacterial small subunit ribosomal RNA", at positions 521 to 896 of the family's 1533-position model. The record is from RNAcentral. Lineage: Bacteria; Pseudomonadati; Pseudomonadota; Gammaproteobacteria. RNAcentral also lists the same sequence under 1 other name.
UAAUACGGAGGGUCCGAGCGUUAAUCGGAAUUACUGGGCGUAAAGCGUACGUAGGUGGCUAGAUUAGUCGGAUGUGAAAGCCCUGGGCUCAACCUGGGAACUGCAUUCGAUACUGUCUGGCUAGAGUAUAGUAGAGGGAAGUGGAAUUCCGGGUGUAGCGGUGAAAUGCGUAGAUAUCCGGAGGAACACCAGUGGCGAAGGCGGCUUCCUGGACUAAUACUGACACUGAGGUACGAAAGCGUGGGGAGCAAACAGGAUUAGAUACCCUGGUAGUCCACGCCCUAAACGAUGUCAACUAGCCGUUGGAGGAAUUUAAUCCUUUAGUAGCGCAGCUAACGCGAUAAGUUGACCGCCUGGGGAGUACGGUCGCAAGAUUA